GCCUCGUUAGCGUAGUUGGAUUAUCGCAUCUGUCUAAUAUGCAUGAUGCUCGGAAUUGAUCCGAAUUGUCUUACAACAGAAGGUCACUGGUUCGAGCCCAGUACGGGGCA
RNAcentral lists this transfer RNA (110 nucleotides) under Sporisorium scitamineum. RNAcentral's name for it is "transfer RNA-Ile(AAT)". It matches the Rfam family "tRNA". From Rfam's summary of the family: Transfer RNA (tRNA) molecules are approximately 80 nucleotides in length. Lineage: Eukaryota; Fungi; Basidiomycota; Ustilaginomycetes; Ustilaginales; Ustilaginaceae. The record is from RNAcentral.